RNAcentral lists this transfer RNA (85 nucleotides) under Sphingobium sp. RNAcentral describes it as "tRNA-Leu". It matches the Rfam family "tRNA". From Rfam's summary of the family: Transfer RNA (tRNA) molecules are approximately 80 nucleotides in length. Their secondary structure includes four short double-helical elements and three loops (D, anti-codon, and T loops). Further hydrogen bonds mediate the characteristic L-shaped molecular structure. tRNAs have two regions of fundamental functional importance: the anti-codon, which is responsible for specific mRNA codon recognition, and the 3' end, to which the tRNAs corresponding amino acid is attached (by aminoacyl-tRNA synthetases). tRNAs cope with the degeneracy of the genetic code in two manners: having more than one tRNA (with a specific anti-codon) for a particular amino acid; and 'wobble' base-pairing, i.e. permitting non-standard base-pairing at the 3rd anti-codon position. RNAcentral also lists the same sequence under 2 other names. Lineage: Bacteria; Pseudomonadati; Pseudomonadota; Alphaproteobacteria; Sphingomonadales; Sphingobiaceae. The record is from RNAcentral.
GCCCCUGUGGUGAAAUUGGUAGACGCGCUCGACUCAAAAUCGAGUUCCUUCGGGAGUGCUGGUUCGAUUCCGGCCAGGGGCACCA